UCCAAAACAAAUUCCACCUGCAGCUCGUGUGAAUCCUACAUGGAGGGAGCAAGGGAGCACCAGUUUUUGAAGUACUCCCAGAGUUUCAGGACCUUCCCCCCACCCCCGAUCCUAUUCAACUCCAGGGACUAGAAGGGACACCACUGUCGUGGCUGCUCAUGGGCCAAGGAUGGGGUAGUGGCAUCGCCACCAGGAGCUCCAUCCAUUUAAGGCUGUGGGCAGAGCGUCAGGCAGCCUGGCCCAGGGUCACUGAUGUCCCUGCGCCAGGAACCCAGGAGGCCUUGGCAGGUGAAGCACUGGGAGCUGAGCACAUUGGUGACGAAUGUGACCUUGAAAUCAGUCGGGCCAGGAUCAAAUCAAAGCUGCACCGUGGACUAGCUAAAUGACCUUGAGCAAGUAACUUCAUUUCCCUGUCUCUAAGCCAAGACCCAGUCAUCUCCACUCUCUUUCCUGUGGCUCAAGUUGGAGACUGAAAAAAUGACAUUCCAAAUGAAGUGAUUCAACUCCAAAAUGAAACCCACAGGCAAGUGCA
This is a non-coding RNA of Odocoileus virginianus texanus, 532 nucleotides long. NCBI's taxonomy places the organism in Eukaryota, Metazoa, Chordata, Mammalia, Artiodactyla, Cervidae. The record is from RefSeq and is a predicted model, not a curated record.